Molecule: ribosomal RNA, 119 nt
Filed under: Pteropus alecto (black flying fox)
Lineage: Eukaryota; Metazoa; Chordata; Mammalia; Chiroptera; Pteropodidae
Also listed under: 1 other name
Source: RNAcentral
GUCUAUGGCCAUGCUACCCUGAACAAGCCCGAUCCCUUCUGAUCUCGGAAGCUAAGCAGGGUCGGGCCUGGUUAGUACUUGGGUGGGAGACCACUUAGGAAGACCAGGUGCUGUAGACA